This 376-nucleotide ribosomal RNA is filed under the name uncultured bacterium. RNAcentral describes it as "bacterial SSU rRNA". It matches the Rfam family "Bacterial small subunit ribosomal RNA", at positions 362 to 747 of the family's 1533-position model. The record is from RNAcentral.
UUUUGGACAAUGGGGGCAACCCUGAUCCAGCAAUGCCGCGUGCAGGAAGAGGGCCUUCGGGUUGUAAACUGCUUUUGUCAGGGAAGAAAUCCUGUGGGUUAAUACCUCGUGGGGAUGACGGUACCUGAAGAAUAAGCACCGGCUAACUACGUGCCAGCAGCCGCAGUAAUACGUAGGGUGCGAGCGUUAAUCGGAAUUACUGGGCGAAAGCGUGCGCAGGCGGUUUUGUAAGACAGAGGUGAAAUCCCCGGGCUCAACCUGGAACUGCCUUUGUACUGCAAGGCUGAGACGGCAAAGGGGAUGAAUUCCGCGUGAGCGGUAAAUGCGAAUUGCGAGAACACCAUGGCAAGGAAUCCCCUGGGCCUUCUGCGUCUCC